Molecule: ribosomal RNA, 775 nt
Filed under: uncultured bacterium
Lineage: Bacteria
Description: bacterial SSU rRNA
Rfam family: Bacterial small subunit ribosomal RNA
Source: RNAcentral
GAGGAAGCUUGCUUUCUCCGCCGGCGACCGGCGCACGGGUGAGUAACACGUAUGCAACCUGCCCCUGUCAGGGGGACAACCCGCCGAAAGGCGGGCUAAACCCGCGUACAUGCCACCGGGGCAUCCCGGAGGCAGGAAAGGCUUCGGCCGGACAGGGAUGGGCAUGCGGCGCAUUAGGCAGUAGGCGGGGUAACGGCCCACCUAACCGACGAUGCGUAGGGGUUCUGAGAGGAAGGUCCCCCACACUGGUACUGAGACACGGACCAGACUCCUACGGGAGGCAGCAGUGAGGAAUAUUGGUCAAUGGUCGGGAGACUGAACCAGCCAAGCCGCGUGAGGGAUGAAGGUACAGAGUAUCGUAAACCUCUUUUGUCAGGGAACAAAGGCGGGGACGCGUCCCCGGAUGAGUGUACCUGAAGAAAAAGCAUCGGCUAACUCCGUGCCAGCAGCCGCGGUAAUACGGAGGAUGCGAGCGUUAUCCGGAUUUAUUGGGUUUAAAGGGUGCGCAGGCGGUCUGUUAAGUCAGCGGUCAAAGCCCGGGGCUCAACCCCGGCCCGCCGUUGAAACUGGCAGUCUCGAGUUGGAGAGAAGUAUGCGGAAUGCGCGGUGUAGCGGUGAAAUGCAUAGAUAUCGCGCAGAACUCCGAUUGCGAAGGCAGCAUGCCGGCUCCACACUGACGCUGAGGCACGAAAGCGUGGGUAUCGAACAGGAUUAGAUACCCUGGUAGUCCACGCAGUAAACGAUGAAUGCUGGCUGUCCGGGGGGACUGACCCCU